AACAUAGCUCAUAAAUUAAUUUUGAGUGUGACCUGCCCAGUGAAAUUUAAUAAAAUUAUAAAUAAUUUGUGAAAAUAUUAAACGGACGCGGUAACUCUGACCGUGAUAAUGUAGCAUAAUCAUUUGCUUCUUAAUUAGAGGAUAGUAUGAAUGGUUAAACGAAUAUUCCACUUUUUUAGUAAAAAAUUUUUAAAAUUGAAAUAAUAGUUAAGAUGCUAUUUAAAAUUGUAAGACGAAAAGACCCUGUAGAGCUUUACUAUAUUCUUUUUUUUUAUAGGGAAUGUUAGUUUAAUUGGGGCGAUUAUUUUUUAAAAAAACCGAAAAUAAGUAAAAUUAAUAUUUAAUUUAUUGUAUAAUUAAUAAAUUUAACAGUUAUAAAAGUAGGCUAUAAUGACCCAUUAAUAUUAUAAAUUAAAUUAAUGAUCAAUAAAUAAAAGUUACCUCAGGGAUAACAGGAUAAUUUUGUAUUAGAGUUCUUAUCGUAUACAAAGUUUGUCACCUCUAUGUUGAAUUAAGAUAUCCUAAUGGUGUAAAAGUUAUUAAGGGUAGGUCUGUUCGACCUUUAAAAUCUUACAUGAUUUGAGUUCAUUCCGCCGUAAGGCAGGAAGGUUUCUAUCUACAAUUAAAUAAUAUCAUUUAGAUUUAAAGUACGAAAGGAACUAGAUUUCUAAAAAUUAAUUUUUUGAUCUUUAUACAUUAAGAUUGAUUGAUUCUAAAUUUGACAAAUGAUUAUUUAAUUUUU
Molecule: ribosomal RNA, 742 nt
Filed under: Plotocnide borealis
Lineage: Eukaryota; Metazoa; Cnidaria; Hydrozoa; Anthoathecata; Boreohydridae
Description: partial 16S ribosomal RNA
Rfam family: Bacterial large subunit ribosomal RNA (bases 1-639)
Source: RNAcentral